Molecule: ribosomal RNA, 706 nt
Filed under: uncultured bacterium
Lineage: Bacteria
Description: bacterial SSU rRNA
Rfam family: Bacterial small subunit ribosomal RNA
Source: RNAcentral
GAAAUCUCACGGCUUAACCGUGAGCGUGCGAGCGAUACGGGCAGACUAGAGUACUGCAGGGGAGACUGGAAUUCCUGGUGUAGCGGUGGAAUGCGCAGAUAUCAGGAGGAACACCGGUGGCGAAGGCGGGUCUCUGGGCAGUAACUGACGCUGAGGAGCGAAAGCGUGGGGAGCGAACAGGAUUAGAUACCCUGGUAGUCCACGCCGUAAACGGUGGGUACUAGGUGUGGGUUUCCUUCCUUGGGAUCCGUGCCGUAGCUAACGCAUUAAGUACCCCGCCUGGGGAGUACGGCCGCAAGGCUAAAACUUAAAGGAAUUGACGGGGGCCCGCACAAGCGGCGGAGCAUGUGGAUUAAUUCGAUGCAACGCGAAGAACCUUACCUGGGUUUGACAUGCACAGGACGCGUCUAGAGAUAGGCGUUCCCUUGUGGCCUGUGUGCAGGUGGUGCAUGGCUGUCGUCAGCUCGUGUCGUGAGAUGUUGGGUUAAGUCCCGCAACGAGAGCAACCUUUGUCUCAUGUUGCCAGCGGGUAAUGCCGGGGACUCGUGAGAAACUGCCGGGGUCAACUCGGAGGAAGGUGGGGAUGACGUCAAGUCAUCAUGCCCCUUAUGUCCAGGGCUUCACACAUGCUACAAUGGCCGGUACAAAGGGCUGCGAUGCCGCAAGGUUAAGCGAAUCCUUUUAAAGCCGGUCUCAGUUCGGAUCG